CUUGGUCAUUUAGAGGAAGUAAAAGUCGUAACAAGGUCUCCGUAGGUGAACCUGCGGAGGGAUCAUUACACAAAUAUGAAGGCGGGCUGGAACCUCUCGGGGUUACAGCCUUGCUGAAUUAUUCACCCUUGUCUUUUGCGUACUUCUUGUUUCCUUGGUGGGUUCGCCCACCACUAGGACAAACAUAAACCUUUUGUAAUUGCAAUCAGCGUCAGUAACAAAUUAAUAAUUACAACUUUCAACAACGGAUCUCUUGGUUCUGGCAUCGAUGAAGAACGCAGCGAAAUGCGAUAAGUAGUGUGAAUUGCAGAAUUCAGUGAAUCAUCGAAUCUUUGAACGCACAUUGCGCCCCUUGGUAUUCCAUGGGGCAUGCCUGUUCGAGCGUCAUUUGUACCUUCAAGCUCUGCUUGGUGUUGGGUGUUUGUCCCGCCUCUGCGCGUGGACUCGCCUUAAAGCAAUUGGCAGCCGGCGUAUAGAUUUCGGAGCGCAGCACAAAACGCGCUUUGUUAGCAAUACGGUGGCAUCCAUCAAGACUUUUUUUAACUCUUGACCUCGGAUCAGGUAGGGAUACCCGCUGAACUUAAGCAUAUCAAUAAGCGGAGGA
This 604-nucleotide ribosomal RNA is filed under the name uncultured fungus. RNAcentral's name for it is "eukaryotic LSU rRNA". The stretch from base 234 to 387 matches the Rfam family "5.8S ribosomal RNA". Lineage: Eukaryota; Fungi. The record is from RNAcentral.